This 497-nucleotide ribosomal RNA is filed under the name uncultured bacterium. RNAcentral describes it as "partial 16S ribosomal RNA". It matches the Rfam family "Bacterial small subunit ribosomal RNA", at positions 28 to 507 of the family's 1533-position model. The record is from RNAcentral.
GAUGAACGCUGGCGGCGUGCCUAAUACAUGCAAGUCGAGCGAACAGACGAGGAGCUUGCUCCUCUGACGUUAGCGGCGGACGGGUGAGUAACACGUGGAUAACCUACCUAUAAGACUGGGAUAACUUCGGGAAACCGGAGCUAAUACCGGAUAAUAUAUUGAACCGCAUGGUUCAAUAGUGAAAGACGGUUUUGCUGUCACUUAUAGAUGGAUCCGCGCCGCAUUAGCUAGUUGGUAAGGUAACGGCUUACCAAGGCAACGAUGCGUAGCCGACCUGAGAGGGUGAUCGGCCACACUGGAACUGAGACGCGGUCCAGACUCCUACGGGAGGCAGCAGUAGGGAAUCUUCCGCAGUGGGGGAAAGCCUGACGGAGCAACGCCGCGUGAGUGAUGAAGGUCUUCGGAUCGUAAAACUCUGUUAUUAGGGAAGAACAAAUGUGUAAGUAACUAUGCACGUCUUGACGGUACCUAAUCAGAAAGCCACGGCUAACUACGUG